RNAcentral lists this non-coding RNA (71 nucleotides) under Actinomycetota bacterium. Lineage: Bacteria; Bacillati; Actinomycetota. The record is from RNAcentral.
AGGCGAAACCGCGAGGUCCGCUCGCGGUCGCGUCCGGGUUGGCUCCGGACGCCUGAUGAUGCCAGCCACAC